GAUGGGCAUGCGUGACAUUAGCUAGUUGGUAAGGUAACGGCUUACCAAGGCUGCGAUGUCUAGGGGUCCUGAGAGGGUGAUCCCCCACACUGGUACUGAGACACGGACCAGACUCCUACGGGAGGCAGCAGUGAGGAAUAUUGGUCAAUGGGCGUAAGCCUGAACCAGCCAUCCCGCGUGCAGGAAGAAGGCGCUAUGCGUCGUAAACUGCUUUUUCAGGGGAAGAAAACCCGCUACGAGUAGCGGCUUGCCGGUACCCUGUGAAUAAGCAUCGGCUAACUCCGUGCCAGCAGCCGCGGUAAUACGGAGGAUGCGAGCGUUAUCCGGAUUUAUUGGGUUUAAAGGGUGCGUAGGCGGAUUAAUAAGUCAGUGGUGAAAACCUGCAGCUUAACUGUAGAAUUGCCAUUGAUACUGUUAGUCUUGAGUACGGUCAAGGUAGGCGGAAUGUGUAAUGUAGCGGUGAAAUGCUUAGAUAUUACACAGAACACCGAUUGCGAAGGCAGCUUACUGGGCCAUUACUGACGCUGAUGCACGAAAGCGUGGGGAGCGAACAGGAUUAGAU
RNAcentral lists this ribosomal RNA (562 nucleotides) under uncultured bacterium. RNAcentral's name for it is "bacterial SSU rRNA". It matches the Rfam family "Bacterial small subunit ribosomal RNA", at positions 224 to 783 of the family's 1533-position model. The record is from RNAcentral.